CCUACGGGAGGCUGCAGUGAGGAAUAUUGGUCAAUGGCCGGAAGGCUGAACCAGCCAAGCCGCGUGAGGGAGGAAGGCGCAGAGCGUCGCAAACCUCUUUUGCCGGGGGACAAAAGGCCGGACUCGUCCGGUCCUGAGGGUACCCGGAGAAAAAGCAUCGGCUAACUCCGUGCCAGCAGCCGCGGUAAUACGGAGGAUGCGAGCGUUAUCCGGAUUCAUUGGGUUUAAAGGGUGCGCGGGCGGGGCUUUAAGCCGGUGGGGAAAUUUCGGGGCUCAACCCCGCCGGGCCGUCGGAACUGGGGGCCUUGAGUGCGGUGGAGGCAGGCGGAAUGCGCGGUGUAGCGGUGAAAUGCAUAGAGAUCGCGAAGAACCCCGAGUGCGAAGGCAGCGUGCUGUGCCGCAACUGACGCUGAGGCACGAAAGCGCGGGGAUCGAACAGGAUUAGAUACCCUAGUAGUC
This 459-nucleotide ribosomal RNA is filed under the name uncultured bacterium. RNAcentral describes it as "partial 16S ribosomal RNA". It matches the Rfam family "Bacterial small subunit ribosomal RNA", at positions 338 to 795 of the family's 1533-position model. The record is from RNAcentral.